GACGAACGCUGGCGGCGUGCUUAACACAUGCAAGUCGAGCGGCGCGGCGAACGGGUGAGUAACGCGUGAGUAACUGCCCCCCUCUCUGGGAUAACAGUUGGAAACGGCUGCUAAUACCGGAUAAGGGGGGGGGGCUCGCGGCCUAUCAGCUUGUUGGAGGGGUGAUGGCCUACCAAGGCGGUGACGGGUAGCCGGCCUGAGAGGGUGACCGGCCACAUUGGGCUGAGAUACGGCCCAGACUCCUGCGGGAGGCAGCAGUGGGGGAUAUUGCACAAUGGGCGAAAGCCUGAUGCAGCGAGGCCGCGUGAACGAAGAAGGCUUUGGAGUCGUAAAGUUCUUUUAUAUGGGAAGCGGUACCAUAAGAAAAAGCCCCGGCUAACUACGUGCCAGCCGCCGCGGUAAUUC
RNAcentral lists this ribosomal RNA (405 nucleotides) under uncultured bacterium. RNAcentral's name for it is "partial 16S ribosomal RNA". It matches the Rfam family "Bacterial small subunit ribosomal RNA", at positions 28 to 526 of the family's 1533-position model. The record is from RNAcentral.